This 497-nucleotide ribosomal RNA is filed under the name uncultured bacterium. Its description in RNAcentral is "partial 16S ribosomal RNA". It matches the Rfam family "Bacterial small subunit ribosomal RNA", at positions 28 to 507 of the family's 1533-position model. The record is from RNAcentral.
GAUGAACGCUGGCGGCGUGCCUAAUACAUGCAAGUCGAGCGAACAGACGAGGAGCUUGCUCCUCUGACGUUAGCGGCGGACGGGUGAGUAACACGUGGAUAACCUACCUAUAAGACUGGGAUAACUUCGGGAAACCGGAGCUAAUACCGGAUAAUAUAUUGAACCGCAUGGUUCAAUAGUGAAAGACGGUUUUGCUGUCACUUAUAGAUGGAUCCGCGCCGCAUUAGCUAGAUGGUAAGGUAACGGCUUACCAAGGCAACGAUGCGUAGCCGACCUGAGAGGGUGAUCGGCCACACUGGAACUUAGACACGGUCCAGACUCCUACGGGAGGCAGCAGUAGGGAAUCUUCCGCAAUGGGCGAAAGCCUGACGGAGCAACGCCGCGUGAGUGAUGAAGGUCUUCGGAUCGUAAAACUCUGUUAUUAGGGAAGAACAAAUGUGUAAGUAACUAUGCACGUCUUGACGGUACCUAAUCAGAAAGCCACGGCUAACUACGUG